AGAGUUUGAUCCUGGCUCAGAUUGAACGCUGGCGGCAUGCCUAACACAUGCAAGUCGAACGCGAAAUCACCUUCGGGUGAAAGUAGAGUGGCGGACGGGUGAGUAACGCGUGGGAAUCUGCCCAGUAGUGGGGGAUAACUCGAGGAAACUCGAGCUAAUACCGCAUACGCCCCAUGGGGGAAAGGCUUCGGCCGCUAUUGGAUGAGCCCGCGUCAGAUUAGUUAGUUGGUAGGGUAAAGGUUUACCAAGGUAAUGAUCUGUAGCUGGUCUGAGAGGACGAACAGCCACACUGGGACUGAGAUAUGGCCCAGACUCCUAUGGGAGGCAGCAGUGGGGAAUAUUGGACAAUGGGCGAAAGCCUGAUCCAGCAAUGCCGCGUGUGUGAAGAAGGCCUGUGGGUUGUAAAGCACUUUCAGUUGGGAAGAUGAUGACGUUACCAACAGAAGAAGCACCGGCUAACUCCGUGCUAGCAGUUGUGGUAAUACGGAGGGUGCAAGCGUUAAUCGGAAUUACUGGGCGUAAAGCGCGCGUAGGCGGCUAAGUCAGUCAGAUGUGAAAGCCCAGGGUUUAACCUGGGAACUGCAUUUGAUACUGCUUGGCUAGAGUAUGGUAGAGGGAAGUGGAAUUCCAGGUGUAGCGGUGAAAUGCGUAGAUAUCUGGAGGAAUAUUAGUGGCGAAGGCGACUUCCUGGACCAAUACUGACGCUGAGGUGCGAAAGCGUGGGUAGUAAACAGGAUUAGAUAUUCUGGUAGUCCACGCCGUAAACGAUGUCAACUAGCCGUCGGAUCCAUUUAAGGGUUUGGUGGCGCAGCUAACGCGAUAAGUUGACCGCCUGGGGAGUACGGCCGCAAGGUUAAAACUCAAAGGAAUUGACGGGGGCCCGCACAAGCGGUGGAGCAUGUGGUUUAAUUUGAUGCAAUGUGAAGAAUUUUACCAGCCCUUGAUAUCCUCGGAAUUUUUAGAAAUGGAUUGGUGUUUUUGGGAACCGAGUGAUAGGUGCUGUAUGGCUGUCGUCAGCUCGUGUUGUGAGAUGUUGGGUUAAGUUUUGUAACGAGCGUAACCCUUGUCCUUAGUUGCCAGUAUAUAAUGGUGGGAAUUUUAAGGAGACUGCCGGUGAUAAACCGGAGGAAGGUGGGGAUGACGUUAAGUCAUUAUGGCCCUUAUGGGCUGGGUUAUACACGUGCUACAAUGGCCGGUAUAGAGGGUUGCAAACCCGUGAGGGGGAGCUAAUCUUAUAGAACCGGUCGUAGUCCGGAUCGCAGUCUGUAAUUUGACUGCGUGAAGUUGGAA
Molecule: ribosomal RNA, 1290 nt
Filed under: metagenome
Description: bacterial SSU rRNA
Rfam family: Bacterial small subunit ribosomal RNA
Source: RNAcentral